CCCUUAGAUGCUCUGGGCCGCACGCGCGCUACACUGGUCGAUGCAACGAGUUUCUUUCCUUGGCCGACAGGCCUGGGCAAUCUUUGAACAUCGAUCGUGAUCGGGAUAGAUUCUUGUAAUCUUUGAUCUUAAACGAGGAAUUCCUAGUAAACGCAAGUCAUCAGCUUGCAUUGAUUACGUCCCUGCCCUUUGUACACACCGCCCGUCGCACCUACCGAUUGAAUGGUCCGGUGAAAUCUCCGGACUGGCGUGAGUCGGAGCAAUCUGACAAACACCGGAAAGUUGAUUAAACCUUACCAUUUAGAGGAAGGUGAAGUCGUAACA
RNAcentral lists this ribosomal RNA (324 nucleotides) under uncultured eukaryote. RNAcentral describes it as "partial 18S ribosomal RNA". It matches the Rfam family "Eukaryotic small subunit ribosomal RNA", at positions 1470 to 1796 of the family's 1831-position model. The record is from RNAcentral.